RNAcentral lists this transfer RNA (85 nucleotides) under bacterium. Its description in RNAcentral is "tRNA-Ser". It matches the Rfam family "tRNA". Rfam says of the family: Transfer RNA (tRNA) molecules are approximately 80 nucleotides in length. Their secondary structure includes four short double-helical elements and three loops (D, anti-codon, and T loops). Further hydrogen bonds mediate the characteristic L-shaped molecular structure. tRNAs have two regions of fundamental functional importance: the anti-codon, which is responsible for specific mRNA codon recognition, and the 3' end, to which the tRNAs corresponding amino acid is attached (by aminoacyl-tRNA synthetases). tRNAs cope with the degeneracy of the genetic code in two manners: having more than one tRNA (with a specific anti-codon) for a particular amino acid; and 'wobble' base-pairing, i.e. permitting non-standard base-pairing at the 3rd anti-codon position. The record is from RNAcentral.
GGUGGGAUGGCCGAGUGGCCGAUGGCGCACGCUUGGAAAGCGUGUGUACCGCAAGGUACCGUGGGUUCGAAUCCCACUCCCACCG